UAAAAUGCACAUAAAGAGGCGUGCCCGCGGUAAUGGACUCGUCCCUAGCAGAGCCGUUUAAGACGGCUGGCAUUGAAUAACAAUCAGAAA
RNAcentral lists this small RNA (90 nucleotides) under Lacticaseibacillus paracasei. RNAcentral's name for it is "Lactobacillus paracasei RatA". Lineage: Bacteria; Bacillati; Bacillota; Bacilli; Lactobacillales; Lactobacillaceae. The record is from RNAcentral.